CUCCAAGACUCCCCAACAGCCUCCCCAACAACCCUCCCCAGAGCUCUGCCCUUGUGGGCACUCUGGUUUAUAGUCUGACCCUUCAGGGACAUGUCAUAAUUGAAGCAAACACCACCCAGACUUUGCAGAGGAAUUUCUAAAGCCAAAACACUUUACUCAUAAACACCACACAAGAUAUUCAGAUUGAGGCUAAAUGAUACUACUGCCCCAUCUCCCUAACACCCUCCCAGCUCAUGCAAUGUGCCGUGCCCUCCCCCUGCACCCCACAUCCCGUCUCCACUCCACUCUCAACAAGCUUUCUAGCCACUUUUUCCUGCCCAAGACUUGAGCCUCUGCUCCCCAGCGACCUAUGCACUGCCCCUCACACUGCUGGUUGCUCCAUCAGCUUGGGGAUCCCGUCCUCGCCUGGUUCUUUGUAGGAGAGCCCCUAGCUCCUUAGGGCAGGGACACCAAGGGGGAGCAGUCACAGGCUAGGAAGGAGGCCCCAGAGGGGGAUGGAGCCGUUAUGAACAUAGGACUGGAAAGAGCCUCGGGGUCACCGAGUCCAGCCCGUGCUAUGGCCGGCAACCCCGUCACGCCAUCCCCUUCGUAAACUUACCAAGCUCCACCUGAAGCAUUGUCUCCAUGCGUUUCCUUUCCCUCCCCACCGCUAGGGAGGCGCUCGGGUCCAGAGGCUCCCCAAACAGCAUGCACAGACUCAGGCCCUGGAUCCCCCGCCCCAGACCGGAGGCUGGGCUGGACUCAGAACAGGAGGAGUGAGAGACUCUGUGUCCCGUUCUCUAGUCUCCUCAGGCAUCCAGCUCCCCACAACCUGUACAGACGCUGGAGGUGGACAGAUCGCUCCCUGUAUUACUACAAAGCUUGGAACACUGGGGAACCAAACAAUGACCAUGGUGUCGAGUACUGUGUCGAGCUGCCGAAUUACAGGGAUUUUAAGAACUGGAAUGAUAAAGACUGUCAGACGAAAAAUGGCUACGUUUGCAAGUAUCGACCCUAGCGAGGGGAGUCGCUCUCCUGCGCCUGAAGGGGGAGCUCAGCGCCUGGGAUGUAAAAGAACUGGGCUCCUUGGGCAUGAUCAGACAAGA
Molecule: long non-coding RNA, 1085 nt
Organism: Chelonia mydas (Green sea turtle)
Lineage: Eukaryota; Metazoa; Chordata; Testudines; Cheloniidae
Exons: 3
Source: RefSeq, a predicted model, not a curated record